GCAAGUCGAACGGUAACAGCAGAGCUUGCUCUGGCUGACGAGUGGCGCACGGGUGCGUAACGCGUAUGCAACUUACCCCUAACUGGAGAAUAGCCUUUCGAAAGGAAGAAUAAUACUCCAUAGUACUUCAAAGAGGCAUCUCUUUGUUUUUAAAGCUUCGGCGGUUAGGGAUAGGCAUGCGUCCUAUUAGUUUGUUGGUAAGGUAACGGCUUACCAAGACUACGAUAGGUAGGGGGCCUGAGAGGGUUAUC
RNAcentral lists this ribosomal RNA (251 nucleotides) under uncultured bacterium. RNAcentral's name for it is "partial 16S ribosomal RNA". It matches the Rfam family "Bacterial small subunit ribosomal RNA", at positions 57 to 305 of the family's 1533-position model. The record is from RNAcentral.